RNAcentral lists this long non-coding RNA (1677 nucleotides) under Marmota monax (woodchuck). Lineage: Eukaryota; Metazoa; Chordata; Mammalia; Rodentia; Sciuridae. The record is from RNAcentral.
ACAAGAUGUAAUAGCUGGAUCUUUAAAUUCUCGAAGGGAGAUGGUGUUCAAAUGUAACAAGCACAUAUUGUACAUACAGCAGGUGCUCAUAGCUUACAGAACACAAAAACCAUACAUACAUAAACCCACCAAAGGCCACGAGGGGUAUACUCGGAGCCCAUCCGAGAGCGAGACAAUGUAUUUCCAUUCCAGAUGAAGUGUGCUGUUUCCAGCCCCGUGCCCUGGUUCCUACAUUGUUCACAGACGUGUACUCCAUUGAAGGGAUUUUAAAAUGAGAGACAAACCCCCAUGUCAAAGUAAUUGUGCUGAACGCUGGAAAUAGGACAAAAUGGAAGGAGCUGAAAAAAUGUCACCAUUACCUUCCCAAAAGGCUCACUCCUGUUUGAUCCGACUCUGAAGACACUAAUAGACUGGAGUAGCCGCGAAGACUCCCAGCAUAGAAAGUAUUCCUCUAUGUUUUAUUUUAAAUUAUAUUGAUUGGCUAAUGUCUGCAAAGUGUGCACAAAAGUUUCAUUCUAAAUGUCAGUAUUCCCCUCUUGCAUUAACUCUCAUGGAGGAAGCCAUUGUUCUCUAACACUGAAGUAAAUUUCAAGUAGCAUUUUUGCUCUUUAGGACUUCUCAUGCAAACAACCCAAAUUAUUGUCUCACAGAAGAGUUGUCUUUAAUUUCAAACAGCAAAUUGGAGUUGCACAGAAGUUGGAAUACACAGCUACAUAUUUACACACGUUUAGAAAGACCUAUGUACAAUCUGCAAAUUUUGCCAGCACAUUUAUCAUUGUUCCAAGAUGAUGAAAUUGAAACUCUCAUCUUCUUUUAGCUGGAAAACAAUGCCACUACUCUGUGUGUUGAGUUUCAACUUUACCUGGGCUUGAUUUCAUUUGAAAAGAAGGCUUUUUUUCUUCUCCCAAAGGUGGGCCCUUAUUAAUAAGCAUGUAAAAAACAUUAUGUGCACUAAAGAGCAUACAAGGACCUGCUCAUUUGAAAUCUUGAUGGGCUGGGGAUAUUACAAUGUAUGGAAUUUCAUAAUUUACGUGCCAUAGUAAAUCCUAGCUUUCAUGGAUUUGGAAUCUUUGUUUACUUAAAACUCUGUUGCCCCUCCCCCAUUCUCUUAGAGGGGAAAGCACAGCAAAGCAGCAUUUGAAUGGUGACAAGAGUUGUACUCCCAAAAUCAAAGUCUGAAUUGCUUAUCAUUAGGAGUCUUCUACAGUCUUCUACAACUGCCUCCUGGCUUCAAAAUGUCAAAUACUGUAGAAGCAGAGCUCUGUAUAACCCAAUGUUUUGAUCAACCGUAGUCUGGAGGAAAUUUGAUUUAAAAAGCACAAUUCUUCAUUCGCACAAACAGCAACUGAUAACAUUGCCUCUGCUUUUCAAUUCCACAAACAACCAAAAAGUAAAAGAUAAUCAUUUCUAGCAGAUUAUCUCAGUUCUAUCUUUACAAGGAUUUCAGAGAUGUUCCUUUGCCAGGUUGACUCAACAGUUAAAAGCAAAGCAUCCAUCUUAGUCCAUUCUGCAAAAAUCAUCGAAUUUCUCAGCUGAAGAAGCUUUUAUUCCAAGUUUUAAAAAAAGACACUACCCCUCUGCCAUAAAAAAUAUUUUUAAAAAAAUUAAGGUUCAUUGUAUUGUUUUACAUAUGCAAAGCUAUCUUGUGUACCAGUAUACUUUGAACAACAAUAAAAC